CGAGCGGCGGGCCGAGGGAGGGCGCAGCAGCUGCUCCCUGAACACUUUCUGACCCAACAGUCCCCCAGCGCCGGACGCGCCGCGCCCUGGCGGCUCUAGGGACCCCCCCCGCGCCUGCACUUAGCCCCGCGCCCGAGUCCACAGACAAACGAAUUUAAAGGAGCAACCGAGGAGGCACCUGCGAAAGAAAGCCCACACACAGGUGAAUUUAAAGGAGCAGCCCUGGUGUCACCUAUCAGUAAAAGACUAUUUGGAGUUUUCCUCGUCUUACUGGAUGUCACUCUCGUCCUUGCCGACCUAAUUUUCACUGACAGCAAACUUUAUAUUCCUUUGGAGUAUCGUUCUAUUUCUCUAGCUAUUGCCUUAUUUUUUCUCAUGGAUGUUCUUCUUCGAGUAUUUGUAGAAGGGUCAACGCCACCGCCUCUGCACUGCCUUCCUGGCCAUCAUCCCAGGUAGAGCUGCCCUCUUCCUUCUCCGCAGCUUUUCUCAUCCUGCAAAGCAAGGGUGUUGGAGCGGGCCGGAGAGAAGUAGAGUGGGCUGCGAGGAGAAGGAAACAGGCCUUUCGGAGGCUCCUCAUCCCUCGGAGGUCAUCCCUUACUCCAGGCACAGGUGUGCGCACUUCGCAUCUCGAAGGCCGGCCAGCAAGCUUCAGACGGAGGCUCACUCUGUUGCUGGCACGAUCUCGGCUCACUGCAACCUC
This 700-nucleotide long non-coding RNA is filed under the name Homo sapiens (human). RNAcentral's name for it is "novel transcript". The record is from RNAcentral. Lineage: Eukaryota; Metazoa; Chordata; Mammalia; Primates; Hominidae.